Molecule: long non-coding RNA, 476 nt
Organism: Zonotrichia leucophrys gambelii
Lineage: Eukaryota; Metazoa; Chordata; Aves; Passeriformes; Passerellidae
Exons: 3
Source: RefSeq, a predicted model, not a curated record
AGCUGGGUGAGGAAAGCUGGAGUUUGUUGGUUGUGUUGUGAAGAGAGUUGGAAUUUGUUGGUUGUUUUGUGAAGAAGCAGGAGUCAGUGCUGUGAGGAGCUGCACAUGAGAAAUCACUGAGAAGAAUAAGACAAGAGAAAUGGCUUCUGUAAGAUACCUUCAUGAUUAAAGGGCCUCCUACCAGGUAAAGUUUCAAGAACAGAAACACCAACCUGCAUAAAAAGCAAUUAGGACUACUCUGUGAAAAUACACACAUCUUGGAAAAUCUCAUUUUAAUGUGUAAAGAAACUGUCAUUUGAGCUGUUCACAGACCCAUGACUCUGGCUGUUUUGCUGUUGGCACAUCACUUACUCAUGGUAGUUUUCUUUUGGAAAGACCAAAGGUACAAAGACUAAAGGUACAGUAUUCCAUGGCAGUGUCAUGGUGUGGCACAGGUUUUGGAACAGGGCCUGCAACCCUCACCUGGAGAAACAGCA